This 466-nucleotide ribosomal RNA is filed under the name uncultured bacterium. Its description in RNAcentral is "partial 16S ribosomal RNA". It matches the Rfam family "Bacterial small subunit ribosomal RNA", at positions 28 to 507 of the family's 1533-position model. The record is from RNAcentral.
GAUGAACGCUGGCGGCGUGCUUAACACAUGCAAGUCGAACGGAAAGGCCCAAGCUUGCUUGGGUACUCGAGUGGCGAGCGGGUGAGUAACACGUGGGUGAUCUGCCCUGCACUUCGGGAUAAGCCUGGGAAACUGGGUCUAAUACCGGAUAGGACCGCAUUUUGGAUGGUGUGGUGGAAAGUUUUUCGGUGUGGGAUGAGCUCGCGGCCUAUCAGCUUGUUGGUGGGGUAAUGGCCUACCAAGGCGUCGACGGGUAGCCGGCCUGAGAGGGUGUACGGCCACAUUGGGACUGAGAUACGGCCCAGACUCCUACGGGAGGCAGCAGUGGGGAAUAUUGCACAAUGGGCGCAAGCCUGAUGCAGCGACGCCGCGUGGGGGAUGACGGCCUUCGGGUUGUAAACUCCUUUCGCUAGGGACGAAGCGUUAUGUGACGGUACCUGGAGAAGAAGCACCGGCUAACUACGUG